Molecule: long non-coding RNA, 262 nt
Filed under: Gossypium barbadense (sea-island cotton)
Lineage: Eukaryota; Viridiplantae; Streptophyta; Magnoliopsida; Malvales; Malvaceae
Description: long non-coding RNA (GBAR_LNC008188)
Source: RNAcentral
UCACAGACCCUACAAAAUAGUUAAGUUCAAUUUGCACAUCAAUUAUGGCCCUAAGGAAAAUUUUCAGAAAAUGGGCCCACAUGACCCAACUAGCCCAACCCGUGUGGUCCACAUGGCCAAACUGACCCAGCCUGUGCGGCCUGCAUGGUCUGGCACACGACCGUGUGGUGUUGAUAGUCCGCUUUUUGGCAUCGCUCCGUUUGCUAUUUUUCGGGUUUUUUGUUACACAUUUGAACAUUUUUUGAUGUCCACGCCACAGUCG